This is a long non-coding RNA of Homo sapiens (human), 1932 nucleotides long. Ensembl annotates it as MRTFA antisense RNA 1. Its record names the gene MRTFA-AS1. NCBI's taxonomy places the organism in Eukaryota, Metazoa, Chordata, Mammalia, Primates, Hominidae. The record is from Ensembl.
AAAUGAAUUUUUGGGAUGGUACAAGGUAAGAGUCAAUGUUCCCUCUCUCUCUCUCCUUUUUUUUUUUUUAAGACGGAGUCUUGUUCUGUUGGCCAGGCUGGAGUGCACUGGCACAAUCUCGGUUCACUGCAACCUCCGCCUCCCAGGUUCAAGCGAUUCUCCUGCCUCAGCCUCCUGCGUAGCUGGGAUUACAGGCGCACGCCACCACGCCCAGCUAAUUUUUGUAUUUUUAGUAGAGACGGGGUUUCACCAUGUUGGUUGGCCAGGAUGGUCUCGAUCUCCUGACUUCGUGAUCCACCCACCUCGGCCUCCCAAAGUGUUGGGAUUACAGGCGUGAGACACUGCACCCAGCCCUCUCUUAAUUUUUUUAACAUACAGAUAGCCAGUUCUUUCCUGAUUUGUAAGUUUUUAUUUAAACCAGAGUUAGAAAAAUAAUUAAAAUAACACUACCUCUAAACACUCAAAACCACUGCUAUGACAUAAUCCUGCCAUUUCAGUAGAACAGAAAAUCCCCACGCCUUCCCCUCAGCUCGGAGGGCACAGGACUGGGCAGCAAGCUCCACCAGUUUGUAGAAGGAGUUCAACUUCCAGACAGCAGGGAAAUGCCUUUCUCUGAAGUUAUUACAUGAGUUCACACUGAAGGGAAAGAAGAAAGUGAGCCUUAUCAUUUUCCCAAGAUGCUGUGAGAUGUGUUGGAUUUACUCUCACUCAUAAUUGUGCAGGAUGGUUGUUUUGUUUUGUUUUGAGGCAGGGUCUCACUCUGUCACCCAGGCUGGAGUGCAGUGGUGUGGUCUCAAUUCACUGCAACCUCUGCCUCCAGGGUUCAAGCAAUUCUCCUGCCUCCGCCUCCCGAGUAGCUAGAGUCACAGGUGUGCACCACCAUGCCUUGCUAAUUUUUGUAUUUUUAGCAGAGAUGGGGUUUCAUCAUGUUGGCCAGGCUGGACUCCAACUCCUGACCUGAAGUGAUCCGCCCCCCUCAACCUCCCAAAGUGCUGGGAUUACAGACGUGAGCCACUGUGCCUAGCCACAGGUAUGUUCGGGAUGGUUUCAACCAACAUCAAUAGAACCAACUAAGAAUAGAUGGCCUUCAGCAACACAGAGGGGUAGCACAGGAGUUCCAAAGAUCAGUAGUUUGAAAAUCAGGUCACAGGGAGUCCACGCUAUAUGAUCUUGGGGUCUCACUUUGUGGCCCAGCUGGAAUACCGUGGUGCAAACACGGUUCACUGCAGCCUUGACCUCCCAAAUUCAAAGAUGAGGUUUCACCAUGUUGCCUAGGCUGGUCUCAAACUUCUGACAUCAAGCAAUCUGCCCACCCUGGCCUCCCAAAGUGUUGGGAUUACAGCUGUGAGCCACUGCACCCGGCAAAUAAUCUUUUUAAAACAGAUUGUGAUUCCGCAGGUCUGAGGUGGCGUCUGAGAUUCUGCAUUCCUAAUAGGCUUCCAGAGACAGCAUCUCACCAUGAUGCCCGACUAGCCUUGAACUCCUGGCUUCAAGUGAUCCUCCCCAUUCGGCCUCCCAAAGCGCUGGGAUUAUAGGUGUGAGCCACCAUAACAGGCCCAAAAGUAACAUCUGAUCAAAAAUCUCAAGGUGAUGCGGGAACAAGCCAUGAGGCUACUCAGGGAAACGUGCUCUAAAUAGAAGGAAUAACAAGUACAAAAGCCCUGAUAUGCGAGCUAAGGUGCUCAGGGACAACAAACAAAGCCAAUAUGGUUGGGGUAAAACAAGCAAGGGAGAGAAGAGAAGCAGAUAAAAUAAGAGUUACAAAGCAGUUCAUGUGGGACUUUGUAGACGAGUAUAAGGACUGUGGCUUUUUCAGUGAAUGAGAAUAACUGGCAGGUUCUGAGCAAGGAGGGAUAUGACCUGAUUAAUUUUAAAUGGAUAAUGUAAUCGUGUUUAAACUCAAAAAGCUGAAUUAAACACCUGUUCCAUCUC